RNAcentral lists this ribosomal RNA (429 nucleotides) under Chloroflexota bacterium. RNAcentral's name for it is "Chloroflexi bacterium partial 16S ribosomal RNA". It matches the Rfam family "Bacterial small subunit ribosomal RNA", at positions 355 to 776 of the family's 1533-position model. Lineage: Bacteria; Bacillati; Chloroflexota. The record is from RNAcentral.
UGGGGAAUAUUGCACAAUGGGCGCAAGCCUGAUGCAGCCAUGCCGCGUGUAUGAAGAAGGUCUUCGGGUUGUAAAGUACUUUCAGCGGGGAGGAAGGGAGUAAAGUUAAUACCUUUGCUCAUUGACGUCACCCGCAGAAGAAGCACCGGCUAACUCCGUGCCAGCAGCCGCGUUAAUACGGAGGGUGCAAGCGUUAAUCGGAAUUACUGGGCGUAAAGCGGACGCAGGCGGUUUGUUAAGUCAGAUGUGAAAGCCCCGGGCUCAGGCUGGGAACUGCAUCUGAUACUGGCAAGCUUGAGUCUCGUAGAGGGGGGUAGAAUUGCAGGUGUAGCGGUGAAAUGCGUAGAGAUCUGGAGGAACACCGGUGGCGAAGGCGGCCCCGUGGACAAAGACUGACGAACAGGUGCGAAAGCGUGGGGAGCAAACAGG